Molecule: small nuclear RNA, 123 nt
Filed under: Salvator merianae (Argentine black and white tegu)
Lineage: Eukaryota; Metazoa; Chordata; Lepidosauria; Squamata; Teiidae
Description: U4 spliceosomal RNA (ENSSMRG00000003880.1)
Rfam family: U4 spliceosomal RNA
About the family: U4 small nuclear RNA (U4 snRNA) is a component of the major U2-dependent spliceosome.
Source: RNAcentral
AGUUUUGUGCAGUGGCAGUAUGAUAGCCAAUGAGCUUUAUCCGAGGCACAUUUAUAGCUAAUUGAAAACUUCUCAUUUUUUUAAAGCGAUUGGACAGUAAAACUGUGAGAACUAAAUAUUUAC